AAUCUCUCCACACCACUCUCUCUCUCUCUCUCUCUCCACUGUUCUUCUGCUCCUUCCUUUCUCUUUCAAACCCAUUUGAUAUCUUUCUUCACUUUCCUCAGCCAUGGUGGAUGCGAUGCCCCUUUUGCCAAUGAUGCUUCCUCUUCUGUUUCUUUACCUCAGUAUUAAUGCAAAUGAGGUUCACUGCUAUGAAGAGAAGACCCUCAGCCUGCAAACAUUUCAAUGGAAGCAGCAAAGUGGCAAUAAUCCAAGUUGCCUCUCCCGGAAAUCAAGGAAGGAGAAUGGUGCAACCAUAUUGGAAGUGAAGCACACAGACUACUGCUCGGGAAAGAUCAUUGACUGGAAUAAGAAGCUACAAAAGCGUUUGAUAUUGGAUGAUUUUCAUGUCCGGUCACUGCAAUCCCGGUUUAAGAACACGGCAUCGGUGGCUGGUACCGGAGAUGCUUCAGAAGCUCAAAUGCCAUUAACAUCUGGCAUAAAACUUCAGACUCUAAACUACAUUGUAACCAUAGGAUUGGGAGGCAGAAAUAUGACAGUGAUUGUAGACACAGGAAGUGAUUUGACAUGGGUUCAAUGCUUGCCAUGCAAGUUAUGCUACAAUCAACAAGAACCUCUCUUCAACCCUUCUUCAUCCCCAUCAUACCAGUUAGUUUCCUGCAAUUCAUCAACCUGUCAGUCUCUGCAAUUUGCUUCUGGGAAUCCAGGAAUCUGUGGGAGUAACCAAUCUACAACUUGUAACUAUGUUGUUAACUAUGGAGAUGGAUCAUAUACUAGAGGAGAGCUAGCUCAUGAGCAUCUUAAUCUUGGAACAACUCCUGUGAACAAUUUUGUAUUUGGCUGUGGAAGGAACAACAAAGGUCUUUUUGGUGGAGCUUCAGGUCUAAUGGGUCUGGGAAGGAGUGAUCUCUCAGUGAUUUCUCAAAGUUCUGCCAUUUUUGGAGGAGUUUUCUCCUACUGUCUACCUUCCACAGAAGCUGGAGCUUCUGGUUCAUUGGCAAUGGGUGGAGAUUCUUCAGGGUUCAAGAAUUUCACUCCCAUUUCUUACACCAGAAUGGUUCAUAAUCCACAGCUAUCCACCUUCUAUUUUCUCAACCUUACAGGAAUUAGCAUUGGUGGGGUGGCUUUACAAGCUCCAAGUUUUGGUAAAGGUGGAAUUCUGAUCGACUCUGGAACUGUUAUUACAAGGCUUGCUCCAUCAGUUUAUGAGACUGUGAAAGCAGAGUUUCUGAAACAAUUUUCUGGGUUUCCUCCAGCACCUGGAUUUUCUAUCUUGGACACUUGCUUUAACCUCAGUGGAUAUCAGGAAGUGAACAUUCCUGCAAUGAAAUUUCACUUUGAGGGUAAUGCUGAGAUGUAUGUGGAUAUAACAGGCAUCUUUUAUUUUGUAAAGACUGAUGCAUCUCAGGUUUGCUUGGCUCUUGCAAGCCUCUCCUACGAAGAUGAAAUUGGUAUUAUUGGGAAUUAUCAGCAGAAGAAUCAAAGGGUUAUAUAUGAUAGUAAACAGUCCAUGCUGGGAUUUGCAGGAGAAAGUUGCAGUUUCAUGUGAACUGAAGAAUGUGAUCAAUACAUAUAUAUCUUCCGAGCAGAGCCAAACUAUAUAUGAUUGGCAAUAUAAUUAAUGCAGAUAUUGUCUCCCAAGUUUAAUAAUGCGACUUCUUAAUGUGGAGAGCAAGAGGAGUACAAACUAUCAUGAAAAGCUGAGAGAUUUCCCACGUUUUGCUAUUCUUUGAGGCUGGAAUUUUUCCAAACAUCACAAAAUUUGAACCAUUCUAUUUGUAUUCCGGUAAAUUGAA
RNA transcript from Corylus avellana, 1793 nucleotides. It is a transcript of the gene named Eukaryotic aspartyl protease family protein, with no coding region annotated. The record is from RefSeq and is a predicted model, not a curated record. Lineage: Eukaryota; Viridiplantae; Streptophyta; Magnoliopsida; Fagales; Betulaceae.